This is an RNA transcript of Xiphophorus maculatus (southern platyfish), 4003 nucleotides long. It is a transcript of the gene named feline leukemia virus subgroup C receptor-related protein 2-like, with no coding region annotated. The record is from RefSeq and is a predicted model, not a curated record. NCBI's taxonomy places the organism in Eukaryota, Metazoa, Chordata, Actinopteri, Cyprinodontiformes, Poeciliidae. The transcript is spliced from 11 exons.
GCGGCGAGUUUGAGUCCGGGUGGAGGUUUAGAGCAGGCGUCCAAACACGUGUUACAUUGACCUCUAAAUCUAUAUCUAGUCAUGAAAUAUUCCGCCGAUCUUCUAUGUUUAGCUUAUUUAUAGUUUGAGGGGAACAGUGUGACUAGUGUACUUGUUUUCGUAGAGGAAAUGCGCUGUAAACUUUGAGCAACACUGUACUCAUAUGUUAUACAUUUGCAACAAACAGAAACGUUUUGACUUGAACUCGCUGGCUUGUUAUAUAUAUAUUUUUGCUGAAAAUAGUCAAUUGUAACGCAUUUUGAUCGUUUUAUUUAGCUUUAGUUGUUAUUAUUAUAUUGACGCUACACUACUGGAAAGCACUGCAUGAUACUCUAUGUACUCUAUGACUGAUUCCACUGAGAAGACUUGAACAUGAGCGAGAAACACGCGCAGGAAGACAUUAAACUAGAUCCGGAGGACUUGGCGAACCAUGCGAAGCUCGAGGCGGGCGACGCGUCCAAGCUCCCCGGCGACCAGAGCCCAGAGGACGGCCACGGGGAGCCGCAGCCGACCCGUCUGUACAAACGCCGCUGGAUUAUCGUGUUUCUGUUCAGCUCCUAUUCGCUGUGCAACUCGUAUCAAUGGAUCCAGUACGGAAUCAUCGGAAACAUCUUCAUGAAGUUCUACAACGUGGAAGCGUUCACCAUAGACUGGAUGUCGAUGAUCUACAUGCUGACGUACAUCCCGUUGAUCUUCCCGGUGACCUGGCUGCUGGACAAAAAGGGGCUCCGGGUGAUCGCGCUGGUGGGCACUGCGCUCAACUGCGUGGGGACGUGGAUCAAAGUGGCCAGUGUCCGGCCCGAUCUGUUCGCCGUCACUUUCCUGGGACAGUUCUGCUGCUCCUUGGCGCAGGUCUUCAUCCUGGGGAUGCCGUCGAAAAUCGCCUCGGUGUGGUUCGGUUCGGAAGAGGUGUCCACCGCCUGCUCCAUCGGAGUCUUCGGGAAUCAGAUGGGAUGUGCCAUCGGGUUCCUCUUACCUCCAAUCCUGGUGCCUAAUGUAGAAGACAUGGACGAGCUGGCAAAGCACAUCAAAACCAUGUUCUACAUAACAGCAGGAGUGGCUACUUUUCUUUUUAUCCUCGUUAUCUUUGUUUUCCAGGAGCGCCCGAAGCUUCCCCCGACUCUGGCGCAGGCCUCAGCUCGCUCAAUGCCACCAGAGGACUACUCCUAUGUAGCGUCCAUUCUCAGGCUGCUUCGAAACAAACCCUUUGUGCUCCUCAUCGUCAGUUAUGGUCUGAACGUGGGUUGCUAUUACGCUGUAGGAACUCUGCUGAACCGCAUGAUCAUCGAACGUUACCCUGGUGAAGAAGUGAAUGCUGGGAGGAUUGGGCUCACAAUUGUCGUUGCGGGGAUGGUCGGCUCCCUUAUCUGUGGAAUCUGGCUUGACAGAACAAAGACAUAUAAACAAACUACUCUGGCUGUGUACAUCAUGACUCUGGUGGGUAUGAUCAUAUACACGGCAACACUCGACCAGGGACUCCUCUGGGUGGUGUUCAUCACUGCUGGAUGUCUUGGGUUCUUUAUGACAGGCUACCUGCCUCUCGGUUUCGAGUUUGCAGCUGAGCUGACGUACCCGGAGUCAGAGGGAACGUCUUCGGGAUUGCUGAACUGUUCAGCACAGGUGUUUGGCAUCAUCUUCACGAUCUGCCAAGGGAAAAUCAUUGACAAUUUUGGGACGUUGGCAGGAAACAUCUUCCUCUGUGUAUUUCUACUGAUUGGCUCAGCAAUGACAGGUUUGAUCAAGUCUGAUCUGCGGAGACAAAAUGCAAACCGACUGGCCAAAGAAGAGGCGGAGAGGCGGAUGCUGGAACAAGACUACGGAGCGACAACCCAAAUCUCAUCCCAGCCACAAACUCCUUCCUCUCAAGCCUGAUCAAACAAAAAUUUUCUGUGUACACAAAAAAAAUCUUCUCAAAUUUUAGCUCAACACACAGCAUUAGAAAGGAACCUCCUGAUUCCACCAUGGGAAACUUGGACUUACCCACCAUCAUCAAAGAAGUCCGGUUGUAGAGGAAUUAAUUUAAUCUCUGACGAUACUUUCAAUAUGAAGUAUUGAUAAUCAUGAAACCGUCAGAUUCUUUUCUCUACUGAAUAGACUGAGACAAAUCUGUGAAACAAUGCUGCCUUGACAGUUUGAUCUGUCAGUAUUUUAUUUUUUAUGUUUAUUAAUAUUAUCUGACCAAAAUAGAGCAACAAAGUUUGAUAUUUUGUUGAUCCACUUUAGAUUUGAUUUAAUUACACAGUAGUUUUGAGAUUUAGGUGUAUGAUUAUGUCCAGAGAUGCUGUGAAAACUGAAAUUGUAACAGUGUUUUUUUGGUUUGUUUUCUUCUUUUUUUUAUUUUUUUAUUCUUCUUCUUAUUAUUAUUUUGUGCAAACCUCAUGAGGUGAAGGGCAGUGUUAUUACCACUAGAGUUUAUUUGUCAAAACCCAACUAAUGAAGACAAAGAGAAAUAUCUACACACUUUAUGAAAACAGUCACAACUUGUGCUGCUAUGGUAGAAUCCAAUAGUAGAGACUGAUUUAAAGGGGCAGUAUUAUGUAAAAUUGACUUUCUUGAGCUUUACACCAUGUCAAAAUGUUAUUCCCUCAUCAAACACAUACCUGAAGUGUUACCCUGAUUCUUUCAUUCGUGUUUGAGAAAUCCUUCAGUCUCCCAUGGCAAUCAUUCAGCUGUGCACAACGCCUGGGGGGACCUAGCGUCACCUUUGAGAUGUAACUUCACCUUGGUGCUGCAGUUUCGAAGCUUCUGAGGUUCUGCCUCACAGAACAGCCCUCCCCAGAAACUGCCCCACUCAGCUCCUUCAGGCUAGUCAGCAGCAAUUAGUAAACCCCUGGUGGAUCUGCUGAGCUUGUUAUAUGAGCUACUUCUCAGUGCAGCGCUGGUAAAACUGCUGUUAAAGGGUUAAUAGAAGAGUGAUGUUGUGAUUACUUCCUGAAGGUGCAACUUCAGAAAGACAGUUUUUAGAGAAAGAGGCACAAUUUCAAGUCUUUAAAUAUUGAAGUCAAAUUUCUUUUAAGUAAUAUUUGUUAUAUGCAGCAUUUUUAUAACAACUGAAGGCAAGAUAGUUAUCUGAUUGUGCCAUAAGAUUUCACUAUGUGCCUACAAAACAGAUAAUAUUGCCCCUUUACCGGAGAAAAUAUCCAUGUAAUUGUAUCAGUGAACAGAGUGUUCAUUUCAGUUUUCAAAGGGCUGAGUCUAUACAGGAUGUUUCCAGUCACACUGACUAUUCAAAGCAUUUUACACCAUAGCCAGAUUCGACCAAUCAUGCUCACAUUUGUACAAGACAUAGAUUGGUAGGCAAUUUGGGAGUACGGGUCUUGCUCAGUGGCACAUUGACAAAUGGCAGAAAUCAAACCCACAACUGUCGGAUUGCAAGACAAUUAAUUUGCUGCAGAGCUGCAGUUGCCCUUUGGCCACAAUCACCUAUGAAGCUCUCUUUACCUUCUGUGAAGGCAAGUCAUCACUCUCCUUGCAGACUUGUACAGUGGCCUACAAUUAUUGGUGCCCCUGGAGAAGAGGUGAAGAGGACCCUCACAUCAAUUGUUAUUAGGGACAUUUGGCGACCCUGAGAUUUGUCUCAGGGUCGCUACCUAGUUUUAGGUUUUGGCCAACCUAGUUUUAGGUUUUAGUCUAAAACUAGGCUAAAACCUAAAACUUGUGUCUCAUAGUUCCAGCGACUUGUUUUUGUUAUUUCUCUUUAUGUUGGUAGUUAUUUUCUUUCAACCACUCUAAUGACUAAAGACAAAUUUCUCUCGAAUCAGCUGAGUGUUUUUUGUCUUUAACAUUUUUGAAGAGCGUUACUAAAUCUAGCCUCUAUUAUAUCAUAUUUAAAACACAUUUUGAAAAAAGGAAAAGAUGGGUUUCCAAUUAAACACUAAUCAGUGCAGUGGCUGCACAGUGGAGCAGCUGGUAGCACUGUUGCCUUGCAGCAAGAAGGUCCAGGGUUCAAUUCCCUGCACGGAGU